Molecule: long non-coding RNA, 1165 nt
Organism: Ictalurus punctatus (channel catfish)
Lineage: Eukaryota; Metazoa; Chordata; Actinopteri; Siluriformes; Ictaluridae
Source: Ensembl
ACACACACACACACAUACAUACAUACAUAUACACACACACACACUACUUGUGUAACUACUUGUGUGUGUAAACAAGUAGUUAAUAUAGGAGAGAAUCUAACACCUAGCUACAGGUUAUUUAACGGAUUUAUUUACAAGGAAUAUAAUAAAAGUAUCAUGAAAAUAAAAACCCAGCCGUCUCUUUUCCUCAGCGUAAUUAGCUAACUUAGUUGUUAGCUGGCUCUGAAAACGUUAGCUGUAACAUUAGCGAACCAGUAAUAUUCAAAUAAAACAUUUAAAGCACGCCAAAAGCAUAAAUUUAUAAGCAGACUGAGAGAAGUUCAUCUUAAUAAGCCCGGCUAGUCAGACUGAACUAAGUUUAUUUAUAUUAGCGUUAGCUAGCACGCCGCAUAACAAUAACCUUUACAAGCAAAACCACGUAGUUAGCUUAGCUACCAGAGCACUUCUCAAACCCUGCCUCGGAGAAAGUUUGCUAGAUGUAGAAUACAUUCGAAAUAUACACAUAUCUUACGAGUACUUUAAAAAGAAGUAAUAAAAUGAACGCCGUCACUGAGAGAACUCGGAGGUAACUAGCUAGUUCCGGCGACAGGUAAGACGAGGGCUCGCUAAGGAUAGCAAGGUAAACAGAAAAAUGAAAGCAGUUUCGUCAAAAAUAAUUUAGCAGUCGCUACAAAUACGACGAAAGAUUUAAAAACCUGAGAUAAUUACCUUUUUGUUGUUUUUAGAUUUGUCGUCGUUCCAGACUUUUAGUGGAAAUGGUAGGCUCUGUAUGCGCGACCUCUAAACAAUCCGAGGCUCCUGGAGCGGAGUAACUUCUCAAACAGCGGCCAGUGUGGAGCGAACCGAUCCCUCUGGAAAGGAACUGCAGGACAUUUUAUAUCACGGUUUAUAUCACUGCUGCGAAACCGUGAAUGCCGACUGAGUCAGUAGUUGCCCACGACUCGGAGAAACUCUCGAUCCAUCGCCGACUCACAUUAAACUAUUUUAACGACGCGCCGUCCAUCAGAGACGAGACAAGCGAGUCUCAUUUACCGUAGUGAAGUUUCAGCUCAGCAGCGCCUCGCUGCGGACAACCCGGGUGGGAGGAAACCAGAGAACCUGGAGGAAACCCACUGAGACACAGGAUGAACAUGUGAAAGUCAGUAGCCCAGGCUCAGCAUCAAAC